Molecule: ribosomal RNA, 253 nt
Filed under: uncultured bacterium
Lineage: Bacteria
Description: partial 16S ribosomal RNA
Rfam family: Bacterial small subunit ribosomal RNA
Source: RNAcentral
CACGUAGGGUGCAAGCGUUGUCCGGAAUUAUUGGGCGUAAAGGGCUCGUAGGCGGUCCGUCACGUCGGGAGUGAAAACUCGGGGCUCAACCCCGAGCCUGCUUCCGAUACGGGCGGACUAGAGGUAGGUAGGGGAGAACGGAAUUCCUGGUGUAGCGGUGGAAUGCGCAGAUAUCAGGAGGAACACCGGUGGCGAAGGCGGUUCUCUGGGCCGAUACUGACGCUGAGGAGCGAAAGCGUGGGGAGCGAACAGG